AAAAGAAAAAACGAAAAAAUUGAUGCGAAAAUCAAUGGUAUCCCGAGGCAUCGUAACCGCGCUUAGGCGACCAGCUGCGAGAAAACAAGUUUUUCAUCUUCACCUACGUACUCCGUAAUUGCUAAGUAAUCUGUUACAGUGGAAUCACCCCUUAUUAAGCGCAACAAACGAAGGAGAGAAGGGUUAUCAAGCGGAGUUUAGGACCGCGGCGACGAUUCUAUGAAAAUUGAAUGACGAGGGUGUCGACGCGAUUAAGGAAGGAAAGAAGAGGAGGUCGUGCUUCGUAGGAUCGAAGAGAAGGCGAAGAAGAAUGGUCAGCAAGACGUAUAAUAAUCGAGCGAGUAAUCAACCCACGGUCGUCAUCGUGACAACGGCCCACCAGAACGCGUCCGGAAUGGACUUGAAGAACGAAUUCUCGGAGCCGGCCUCCGCGAAGUAUACCGCCGAUGAGAAUAGCACCACACCUGCAAUGCAAGGAAGAAAACACCGGUUCAGUGGGUUUAACGCCCCCGGUGGCU
Hylaeus volcanicus is the source of this 518-nucleotide long non-coding RNA. RefSeq lists it as uncharacterized. The record is from RefSeq and is a predicted model, not a curated record. Lineage: Eukaryota; Metazoa; Arthropoda; Insecta; Hymenoptera; Colletidae. The transcript is spliced from 3 exons.